This 69-nucleotide ribosomal RNA is filed under the name Candidatus Omnitrophota bacterium. Its description in RNAcentral is "partial 16S ribosomal RNA". Lineage: Bacteria; Pseudomonadati; Candidatus Omnitrophota. The record is from RNAcentral.
AUUUUUGGAGAGUUUGAUUCUGCCUCAGCACGAACGUUGGCGGCGUGGAUAAGGCAUGCAAGUCGAACG